RNAcentral lists this ribosomal RNA (2636 nucleotides) under Staphylococcus haemolyticus. Its description in RNAcentral is "partial 23S ribosomal RNA". It matches the Rfam family "Bacterial large subunit ribosomal RNA". Lineage: Bacteria; Bacillati; Bacillota; Bacilli; Caryophanales; Staphylococcaceae. The record is from RNAcentral.
AAGGGCGCACGGUGGAUGCCUUGGCACUAGAAGCCGACGAAGGACGUUACUAACGACGAUAUGCUUUGGGUAGCUGUAAGUAAGCGUUGAUCCAGAGAUUUCCGAAUGGGGGAACCCAGCACGAGUUAUGUCGUGUUAUCGACAAGUGAAUUCAUAGCUUGUCAGAAGGCAGACCCGGAGAACUGAAACAUCUUAGUACCCGGAGGAAGAGAAAGAAAAAUCGAUUCCCUGAGUAGCGGCGAGCGAAACGGGAAGAGCCCAAACCAAUAAGCUUGCUUAUUGGGGUUGUAGGACACUCUAUACGGAGUUACAAAGGAAUAUAUUAGACGAAUCAUCUGGAAAGUUGAAUCAAAGAAGGUAAUAAUCCUGUAGUUGAAAAUAUAUUCUCUCUUGAGUGGAUCCUGAGUACGACGGAGCACGUGAAAUUCCGUCGGAAUCUGGGAGGACCAUCUCCUAAGGCUAAAUACUCUCUAGUGACCGAUAGUGAACCAGUACCGUGAGGGAAAGGUGAAAAGUACCCCGGAAGGGGAGUGAAAGAGAACUUGAAACCGUGUGCUUACAAGUAGUCAGAGCCCGUUAAUGGGUGAUGGCGUGCCUUUUGUAGAAUGAACCGGCGAGUUACGAUCUGAUGCAAGGUUAAGCAGGAGAUGUGGAGCCGUAGCGAAAGCGAGUCUGAAUAGGGCGUUGAGUAUUUGGUCGUAGACCCGAAACCAGGUGAUCUACCCAUGGUCAGGUUGAAGUUCAGGUAACACUGAAUGGAGGACCGAACCGACUUACGUUGAAAAGUGAGCGGAUGAACUGUGGGUAGCGGAGAAAUUCCAAUCGAACUUGGAGAUAGCUGGUUCUCUCCGAAAUAGCUUUAGGGCUAGCCUCAAGUGAUGAUUAUUGGAGGUAGAGCACUGUUUGGACGAGGGGCCCCUCUCGGGUUACCGAAUUCAGACAAACUCCGAAUGCCAAUUAAUUUAACUUGGGAGUCAGAACAUGGGUGAUAAGGUCCGUGUUCGAAAGGGAAACAGCCCAGACCACCAGCUAAGGUCCCAAAAUAUAUGUUAAGUGGAAAAGGAUGUGGCGUUGCCCAGACAACUAGGAUGUUGGCUUAGAAGCAGCCAUCAUUUAAAGAGUGCGUAAUAGCUCACUAGUCGAGUGACACUGCGCCGAAAAUGUACCGGGGCUAAACAUAUUACCGAAGCUGUGGAUUGUCCGUAGGACAAUGGUAGGAGAGCGUUCUAAGGGCGUUGAAGCAUGAUCGCAAGGACAUGUGGAGCGCUUAGAAGUGAGAAUGCCGGUGUGAGUAGCGAAAGACGGGUGAGAAUCCCGUCCACCGAUUGACUAAGGUUUCCAGAGGAAGGCUCGUCCGCUCUGGGUUAGUCGGGUCCUAAGCUGAGGCCGACAGGCGUAGGCGAUGGAUAACAGGUUGAUAUUCCUGUACCACCUAGCAUCGUUUUAAUCGAUGGGGGGACGCAGUAGGAUAGGCGAAGCGUACGAUUGGAUUGUACGUCUAUNNNNNNNNNNNNNNNNNNNNNNNNNNNNNNNNNNNNNNNNNNNNNNNNNNNNNNNNNNNNNNNNNNNNNNNNNNNNNNNNNNNNNNNNNNNNNNNNGGUUAGCUUCUGCGAAGCUACGAAUCGAAGCCCCAGUAAACGGCGGCCGUAACUAUAACGGUCCUAAGGUAGCGAAAUUCCUUGUCGGGUAAGUUCCGACCCGCACGAAAGGCGUAACGAUUUGGGCACUGUCUCAACGAGAGACUCGGUGAAAUCAUAGUACCUGUGAAGAUGCAGGUUACCCGCGACAGGACGGAAAGACCCCGUGGAGCUUUACUGUAGCCUGAUAUUGAAAUUCGGCACAGCUUGUACAGGAUAGGUAGGAGCCUUUGAAACGUGAGCGCUAGCUUACGUGGAGGCGCUGGUGGGAUACUACCCUAGCUGUGUUGGCUUUCUAACCCGCACCACUUAUCGUGGUGGGAGACAGUGUCAGGCGGGCAGUUUGACUGGGGCGGUCGCCUCCUAAAAGGUAACGGAGGCGCUCAAAGGUUCCCUCAGAAUGGUUGGAAAUCAUUCAUAGAGUGUAAAGGCAUAAGGGAGCUUGACUGCGAGACCUACAAGUCGAGCAGGGUCGAAAGACGGACUUAGUGAUCCGGUGGUUCCGCAUGGAAGGGCCAUCGCUCAACGGAUAAAAGCUACCCCGGGGAUAACAGGCUUAUCUCCCCCAAGAGUUCACAUCGACGGGGAGGUUUGGCACCUCGAUGUCGGCUCAUCGCAUCCUGGGGCUGUAGUCGGUCCCAAGGGUUGGGCUGUUCGCCCAUUAAAGCGGUACGCGAGCUGGGUUCAGAACGUCGUGAGACAGUUCGGUCCCUAUCCGUCGUGGGCGUAGGAAAUUUGAGAGGAGCUGUCCUUAGUACGAGAGGACCGGGAUGGACAUACCUCUGGUGUACCAGUUGUCGUGCCAACGGCAUAGCUGGGUAGCUAUGUAUGGACGGGAUAAGUGCUGAAAGCAUCUAAGCAUGAAGCCCCCCUCAAGAUGAGAUUUCCCAACUUCGGUUAUAAGAUCCCUCAAAGAUGAUGAGGUUAAUAGGUUCGAGGUGGAAGCGUGGUGACACGUGGAGCUGACGAAUACUAAUCGAUCGAAGACUUAAUCAAUUU